RNAcentral lists this ribosomal RNA (552 nucleotides) under uncultured bacterium. RNAcentral's name for it is "partial 16S ribosomal RNA". It matches the Rfam family "Bacterial small subunit ribosomal RNA", at positions 355 to 895 of the family's 1533-position model. The record is from RNAcentral.
UGGGGAAUUUUGGACAAUGGGCGAAAGCCUGAUCCAGCAAUGCCGCGUGUGUGAAGAAGGCCUUCGGGUUGUAAAGCACUUUUGUCCGGAAAGAAAUCCUUGGCUCUAAUACAGUCGGGGGAUGACGGUACCGGAAGAAUAAGCACCGGCUAACUACGUGCCAGCAGCCGCGGUAAUACGUAGGGUGCAAGCGUUAAUCGGAAUUACUGGGCGUAAAGCGUGCGCAGGCGGUUUGCUAAGACCGAUGUGAAAUCCCCGGGCUCAACCUGGGAACUGCAUUGGUGACUGGCAGGCUAGAGUAUGGCAGAGGGGGGUAGAAUUCCACGUGUAGCAGUGAAAUGCGUAGAGAUGUGGAGGAAUACCGAUGGCGAAGGCAGCCCCCUGGGCCAAUACUGACGCUCAUGCACGAAAAGCGUGGGGGAGCAAAACAGGAUUAGAUACCCUGGUAGUCCACGCCCUAAAACGAUGUCAACUAGUUGUUGGGGGAUUCAUUUCCUUAGUAACGUAGCUAACGCGUGAAGUUGACCGCCUGGGGAGUACGGUCGCAAGAUU